RNAcentral lists this ribosomal RNA (497 nucleotides) under uncultured bacterium. RNAcentral's name for it is "partial 16S ribosomal RNA". It matches the Rfam family "Bacterial small subunit ribosomal RNA", at positions 28 to 507 of the family's 1533-position model. The record is from RNAcentral.
GACGAACGCUGGCGGCGUGCCUAAUACAUGCAAGUAGAACGCUGAAGAGAGGAGCUUGCUCUUCUUGGAUGAGUUGCGAACGGGUGAGUAACGCGUAGGUAACCUGCCUUGUAGCGGGGGAUAACUAUUGGAAACGAUAGCUAAUACCGCAUAACAAUGGAUGACACAUGUCAUUUAUUUGAAAGGGGCAAUUGCUCCACUACAAGAUGGACCUGCGUUGUAUUAGCUAGUAGGUGAGGUAAUGGCUCACCUAGGCGACGAUACAUAGCCGACCUGAGAGGGUGAUCGGCCACACUGGGACUGAGACACGGCCCAGACUCCUACGGGGGGCAGCAGUAGGGAAUCUUCGGCAAUGGGGGCAACCCUGACCGAGCAACGCCGCGUGAGUGAAGAAGGUUUUCGGAUCGUAAAGCUCUGUUGUAAGUCAAGAACGGGUGUGAGAGUGGAAAGUUCACACUGUGACGGUAGCUGACCAGAAAGGGACGGCUAACUACGUG